Long non-coding RNA from Macadamia integrifolia, 397 nucleotides. RefSeq lists it as uncharacterized. The record is from RefSeq and is a predicted model, not a curated record. Lineage: Eukaryota; Viridiplantae; Streptophyta; Magnoliopsida; Proteales; Proteaceae. The transcript has 3 exons.
UCUCCUCCUUCUCCUUCUUCUCCUUCUUCUUCUUCAUUUCUUCUUUUCUUCUUCUAUUCAACCUCUUCUUCUUCAUCAUCUAUUGUAACCACAGAGAGGGUUUGUGUGAAAUUUAGGGGUUUUUUUCUCCUUCUUCUUCUUCAUUUUUUCUUUUCUACCAGAGACAGAGAUCGAUUAGCUUAACAAAGUUCUGGUUUCGAAUAUAGUUUGGAACUCGCACAGAGAGAGGAGAGAAGAAGAAACAGGAGCUCGCCCCCUUGUGAAAUCUCCUCUGCAGAGCAGGUAUUGGGACAAAUUUUAGGGUUUUUCUAGACCACCUAUACAGAGAGAUGACUUCUUCUAUGCCCCCACUCAUGAUAGCAACUUGUGAAAUUUGUGGGAAGAGUUGUGGUAAAUA